RNAcentral lists this ribosomal RNA (292 nucleotides) under uncultured bacterium. RNAcentral's name for it is "partial 16S ribosomal RNA". It matches the Rfam family "Bacterial small subunit ribosomal RNA", at positions 505 to 796 of the family's 1533-position model. The record is from RNAcentral.
GUGCCAGCAGCCGCGGUAAUACGUAGGUGGCAAGCGUUGUCCGGAAUUAUUGGGCGUAAAGGGCGCGUAGGCGGCCUGAUAAGUCAGAUGUGAAAGCCCCAGGCUCAACCUGGGAUCUGCAUUUGAAACUGUCGGGCUAGAGUGCAGGAGAGGAAAGUGGAAUUCCUAGUGUAGCGGUGAAAUGCGUAGAGAUUAGGAGGAACACCAGUGGCGAAGGCGACUUUCUGGACUGUAACUGACGCUGAGGCGCGAAAGCGUGGGGAGCAAACAGGAUUAGAAACCCUGGUAGUCC